AAUGAACGUUGGCGGCGUGGAUUAGGCAUGCAAGUCGUACGGGCCAGCAAUGGUCAGUGGCGAAAGGGAGAGGAACACGUAGAUACCCACCCUCAGGUCCUGGAUAGCUGCGGGAAACUGCAGGUAAUACAGGAUAAUAUCUCCGGAUCAAAGGUGUGAUUCCGCCGGAGGACGGGUCUGCGUCCUAUCAGCUAGUUGGUGAGGUAAUGGCUCACCAAGGCUAUGACGGGUACGGGGCGUGAGAGCGUGCCCCCGCUCACUGGGACUGAGAUACUGCCCAGACACCUACGGGUGGCUGCAGUCGAGGAUCUUCGGCAAUGGGCGCAAGCCUGACCGAGCGACGCCGCGUGUGGGAUGAAGGCCUUCGGGUUGUAAACCACUGUCGGGGGGGAGGAAAUGCAUGAGAGUUCUCUCUUGUGUUUGACCUAUCCUCGGAGGAAGGACGGGCUAAGUUCGUGCCAGCAGCCGCAGUAAAAC
Molecule: ribosomal RNA, 477 nt
Filed under: uncultured bacterium
Lineage: Bacteria
Description: bacterial SSU rRNA
Rfam family: Bacterial small subunit ribosomal RNA
Source: RNAcentral